Molecule: long non-coding RNA, 1941 nt
Organism: Ananas comosus (pineapple)
Lineage: Eukaryota; Viridiplantae; Streptophyta; Magnoliopsida; Poales; Bromeliaceae
Exons: 2
Source: RefSeq, a predicted model, not a curated record
CUCGCCCAUCCCAUCCCCCCUUUUCUGUGCUGUGCCUGUGUUAAGACUUAAAAGACUUUGGCCAACCGUCAGAUAAUAGAGAAUGGUCACAUCUGGGCUUGAGACUAUUUGGUAGGCUUAACACAUGAACUUGAAUUAAAUUGAAAAAAAAAAGAAAAAGAAAAAAGAUUAGGAGCCUAGCAGAAUACGAAUCCAGAAUCUCUUAGUCUUUAGGCUAAAAGUUAAGAUAAAUAAUUAUUUUAUAUAAUUCUAAUUUCAAAUCCCACUAGCUGCUUAGUUUUUUCUAAUUUUUACUCGUUUAAUUCCAGUCCAUGUCUUUACCCUAUUAAGGUCUAAUUUUGUAACGUGGUGGCUAAAAACAUCAUUUUUAUACUAUAGAAGGUUUAAAAAUUUUAAAAACACUUUCAAUCUUUCCUUCUCCAAUGCUCUACAAUUGCUGGUGCAACUGCCGCCGGAAAAGCAUGUAGCCACAUGCUUUUCUAGUAGCGAUUGCAAUCGCAGUUUUAGUGUAAAAGAAGGAAAAAUUGUAAGCACUUUUGAAUUUUUUUACUCUUCCAUAGUAUAAAAAUAAUACUUUUUAGCUACCACGUUACUAAACUAGGCCUAAAAGUUCUUGGAGUAGACUUUCAAAGAAUGGUAUUAUAUUUUCAACACUAAUAUGGUAUGUAGCUCUAAGACCUCUCAAUUUUAAGAAUAGUACUUUUUGCUUUGACUUUUAAAGAACAGUGUUUUAGCAUUAUAUUUUCAAUACUAAUAUGGUAUGCAGCUCUAAGACCUCUCAAUUUUAAGAGGUUCUGGCAAUAUUAUCUGCUAUUAAAUAGUGUAAAUUUAUGUUUGAUGUCUUUACUGUUAAUAUUUUUUGUCAGCUCAUGUGGCGUGGUUUAGCUAAUAUCCACCGUGUGCAUAACUAGGAUCGUCAGAGCAUUUUGAAGCUGUUUUCUGUCGGUUGGUGAACAUGCUCAAGUGCUGUUCAUUCAGUGUAAUCUCAUUGGUUCCAAUUUUCAGAUUCAUUCUGAAAAUGUUAGUUAUGUCUAUUCUGUUUUUGACCUAUCGUUACUGAUGCCUAAUUCUCGUCCUUUGUUUUUCUUGUUGUUUUCACUCAUCAUACCAAAUCAUUUGGAUGAGUAUACACACUGCUUCUUCUGAUUGUGCUUUCUACCUGGGUUCUCAUCAUACCAAAUCAUUUGGAUGAGUAUACCAAAUCAUUUGGUUUUCUUCUGAUGUGAUCGUAUCUUUGCUAGUUUAGUCUGUCCGCAUACAUAGCUCGCGCUAUUUUUUUUUUGCUUUUUUAUUUUUCUUGAGAAAUUUCCAAAUUCAUCCUCUUCAUCCACAUAGAAUCCUGGUUUGUCUACAAGUUUUGUUCGUCAGCUUAAUGUUUCUUGAUUAUCCUAAGUGUGUCAUCUUUGGUAGCCUUUAAUCUUCCAUUUCAGCAGAAAAUUGACCUUUUUCUUCUAUAAGAUGGCGAUCAAUGUUAUGAAAUAGGAUGAUGUUGAUAAUUUAUUCAAUAUCAAACCGCGGUUGACAAACUUGAUAUUUCUAGUUCUCUACAUGUGGUCUCUUCCUUUACAGCUUUAUCUCCUUUUGUCUCAUUUUUCUAUUUGAGAGUCUAAAACUGCUAUUUAUGAGCAUUUAACGUGCUUCUGGUCGAUAGCAUUGUAACCAAUUUGCUUUUCCUUUCGUAGUGCAAUGCCAAUGUCAUACUUCCUCCAUUGGUGGUGCAUUGUAUCUGAGUUUGCAUGUGUCUAUAUUACUUGCAUCUUUUGGACAUGGAUUGAUCUUAUUGCUGUCAGGAAAUCCGUCUUGUAUGGCUUCUCUCAGAGGAAUGGUUGGCCUCCGCAUCCUGCUUGGAAAUAGGAAAAAAUAUGUAUACUGGAUUGCCACGAUUAGAUCGAUGGACCAUUAUGUCGCUUCACAUUUAUUUGAUUACUUUUUAUUUCGUUA